Molecule: ribosomal RNA, 555 nt
Filed under: Halobacillus sp. 5-12
Lineage: Bacteria; Bacillati; Bacillota; Bacilli; Caryophanales; Bacillaceae
Description: bacterial SSU rRNA
Rfam family: Bacterial small subunit ribosomal RNA
Source: RNAcentral
UGCAAGUCGAGCGCGGGAAGCGAGUGGAUCCCUUCGGGGUGAAGCUCGUGGAACGAGCGGCGGACGGGUGAGUAACACGUGGGCAACCUGCCUGUAAGAUCGGAAUAACCCCGGGAAACCGGGGCUAAUGCCGGGUAAUACUUUCUUUCGCAUGAAGGAAAGUUGAAAGAUGGCUUCUCGCUAUCACUUACAGAUGGGCCCGCGGCGCAUUAGCUAGUUGGUGAGGUAACGGCUCACCAAGGCGACGAUGCGUAGCCGACCUGAGAGGGUGAUCGGCCACACUGGGACUGAGACACGGCCCAGACUCCUACGGGAGGCAGCAGUAGGGAAUCUUCCGCAAUGGACGAAAGUCUGACGGAGCAACGCCGCGUGAACGAUGAAGGUCUUCGGAUCGUAAAGUUCUGUUGUUAGGGAAGAACAAGUACCGUGCGAAUAGAGCGGUACCUUGACGGUACCUAACGAGGAAGCCCCGGCUAACUACGUGCCAGCAGCCGCGGUAAUACGUAGGGGGCAAGCGUUGUCCGGAAUUAUUGGGCGUAAAGCGCGCGCAGGCGG